RNAcentral lists this long non-coding RNA (3876 nucleotides) under Helianthus annuus (common sunflower). RNAcentral describes it as "hypothetical non coding rna". The record is from RNAcentral. Lineage: Eukaryota; Viridiplantae; Streptophyta; Magnoliopsida; Asterales; Asteraceae.
UUCUUUUUCCUUCUUUCAUCUCUCGUCAUAUCUAUGUAUAUAUUCUUUCUCAAAACAAUUCUAUAUUGUUUAUAAAUAAUUGGCCUGCCUCGUUUUAAGUAUUGUAACCCUCGAUCACCGCUACCCUUUCCGAUUGAUCUGAGCCUCAGGGCUCUGCCUGACUAAGUUGUUGGGAUUUGGUCUCGGGAUCGGGACAAGGUUGAUUUAGGGGUACUAUACUUAACACGAGUGCAUUAUAUAUUUUUCUAUAUCUUAAAAGUUAUACCCAAAAUUUAUACCAGGAGUCCUUCUAGUUGAACCCUAAAGUUACACAGUGAGUCCAUUCCUUUUCCCCACCAUUCUACUCUCUUUUUAUAAGUUACCCAAAACUAUUACUUAUUAUUUAUUAUUUCUAUUUUAUAAACAAACUUUCAUGAAAAGUCAUGCCUAUUAUUUUAUUUACCCAAUAGGGAACCAUAGUUGAGACACCCAAGUAAUCCUGCACAACCCCUAAAAUUUCCAGAACAAUCAGAAUCAGGAUCAGGGCCCCUAAAACUCAGGGGGGGCAAAACCCUAGUUACGAUAAUCUAAAUAACUUUCUGGCCGUUUAGAAUUUUAUAAUUUCAUCGACUCAGCUAAGCUACUUAGACACGAAGCUACCUAUAGAAAAUAGGUUACCACUCGCGUAGCGCGACGCCCAUGGGGGGUACCCCUCGCGCUACGCGACGGUGUCAAAAUUCGGGUAUAAAUAGAGGGGGUUGGGACUUGAAUUCUGUCUUUGGAACGACGUAAAUCCGAGUUACGUAGAUCAAGUUAUCACAGAAACAGUCCAACACACACACUAUAUCGAAUCGCUGCCGCAGAACAGGGUAAUUACUCGAUCGCUAUUACGAUUCAGUUUCCGGGAUCAAUAUACCCAAAGAAUGUCUAAGUGCCGCCCACAUUGGGUUAUGCUUUGUCGUUGUCGAUAAUUCGAUAAUGAGUUGAAGCAUUGUACUUUGUCGUUGUCGAUAAUUCGAUAAUGAGUUGAAGUACUAUACUUUGUCGUUUGUCAUUUUGAUAAAUGAGUUGAAGUAUUGCACUUGGUCAUUCAUUGUGAGAAUUUGAUCUCGGGAAAUUAUCGUAACUGCUGUAUUGAGCAUUAACCCGGUUUUUGUGAAAAUCGUUAAGAUUGAUUUAGGUUUUUCACCAAUACUUAUUCCAUUAUGUUAAACCACCAGAAAUACUCCCAACUACACCCUUACAAUCAAAUAAACUAUUAAAUCAUCAGAAGAUCCAGAAUAAUAAAGUGCAUGCUUAAUUAUCGGAAGAAAUAGAAUCAAGAAGUUGUUAACUCAAUCCUGCAUGCUGAUUUGUGAGUCAUUCUCUUUUUAUUAACUGUUUUACAAUACUCCAAAUCAUGUUUCAAAGUUAUAAUUACAGUGAUUAAAUUUAUGUAAUCACCAAAUUACAGCCGGUAUGUGGGGUAUUGUGCACAGUAUUAUUAUUGUUUUAAUCACAUUAGGUGGGCGAGCCUAAAAGAAAGUGAUAUACGUCACUCAUUGGGCCAGCCAAUGGUGAUAUGACCACAGUCACAGAGCUGGUCUGUGACAAAUACCUAUUCUUGAAAUGUUGGUAAUUACAGUAGAUUGGAGUAAGGAUUGGAUCCGGCACUAAAAGACUUCAAGAAGUGGCUUAUUUUAUUAAUUAAAUCAACUUAAGAAAUAUUGUUUUCAUUGAAAGCUACCUUUGUAAAACAUGGAAUUUAUUCCAUCUAUUUCAAUAAAAAUCCGGUGUUUCUAAACUCUGAUAUUUUCCUAACUCACGGUCCUGAUGAAAUUUCCGCUGCAAUGUGUUUUUCAAAAUAAUCACCGGUACCACUGGACUGCUCGCGGCUUCCGAUUCCGGCCAGGAUGGGAUCGGGGGUCGUGACAGAAGGUGGUAUCAGAGCUAAGCCACUGCUUUAAGCCUAUAAGUGUUGUGAUAACAAUACUUAAAUAAAAGAGUUAGGAGAUUGCUAUUAACUGGUAGCACAUCUGAUAGAAUUUAGACUUGAACAUAAGAAAAGAUGCCUUAGUAUAAACCAAGCCACAUGUUUAGAGCAAGUAGGUGUUAUAAUAAUAAUACCUAAGCUUAAACGGAAAGUUAGAAACUUAAUAUUAUCUGGUAACAUUCUGAAUGAUAUUUAGACUUGAACUUAAGAAUUUUGCCUUAAAAUAAACUUUAAGGUAAAUUACUUAUAUAAAUAUAAUGUAAUGGAUACUGGUAUGUCAUAAGAAUGACGGUUAGCAAGCAAUAGCACUUAAUUGCCAUUUAUUCUUGCUUAUUGAUAUUAUUUGGUCUAGAAUAAGAUAUAUUAUGGGAAUACAAAUUUCCUUGAUUCUGGAUAAAAGUCCUAAUAAAAGAGACACUUUUAAAAUUUUGAAAAGAUACUAUUUAUGGGAAAUAGAAAAUUUUCUCCGGCAAAACUGGGUAUAGAGUAGCAGACUCUCCAGCUUGUCCGGAUAUACUGAAAUUGCCUCUCCGGCGCGAACCGGGUAAGAUGGGGUAUAUAAAAUGUCAAACAAAUGACAAGAUUUCCCUAAAUAAGUAUCAUGGCCAGAUAUCAGACUUGUUUUUGAAAAUAAGAAUCUGUUAAAUACAUUAACCUUAUAAAGGGUAUGUAUAUUACAGCAUGUGAAAUAUAUGAUUAUAUAGAUAUGUAUAUCUAUAAGAAAUUUCAAAAGCCAUAACAAUUGAUAAUUAAGGAUAAAGCACAAGUGUAUGUGUCAAUAAUAAAUCCAGAUUCCUUUAUUAAGAAUUUCUUACCUAUAUUGAUAUCAAACAUUAUUUUAUUUGAUCAUCUACCUCGUAAAUGAGAACUCUUUAAAAUUAAGGAUAUCAUCAAAAAUAUAAGAAUUUCCAAAACAUUACCAUAGACUAUUAAUACAAGUAAGAAGCAUAUAAAGUUGUGCUAAUGCACAAGAAAACACAUGAACCUUAAAUUAUACGUCCACAGACGUCAAAGUUUAUCAUACACAACUUCCAAGGCAAGACCUUUGAAAAAUAUAAAUUAGGCACGAUGACACCUAUGCUAAAUCCAUCAGUAACAGAACUCCUAAUUAAAAAUCGGCACUUUGCCACAUGAUCUUACAAACGAUCAAAAUAUCGCUGAGGUACGUUGGAACAAUAUUUCACAAACAUCAGUGCAUAGUCUAACCUGAGUCAUAAUUAUCAGCACUACAAAAGAAGUCAUAUAGUUUUGCAAAUUCCCUAUUUCAUUUCACUUCAUUCGACAUUCUCUGAUAAUGUCAUUUAACAAAUAGUUAUCACACGAAAUUUCAGAUAAGAAGUUCUUAUAUUUCUUUCGUUGCAAUUCUAACUUCUGCCUAUAAUAAGUUGACUUUCGUGUUCUUUUAAUGGUCAUCAUACCAUAAAGAAUUCUUUCAUAAUAGCAAAUAUUGAUCCAUUUCGUUUCUUGGUAAAUCCACACGAUACACAUGCACUAUUUGUUGCGCAUGUGGUUCAUUUGAGUUAUAAGACCCUAGGAAGGCAUCAUUUCAAUUUGUUGUUUUAUCAAAAGUUCAAAUAUCGUUCCGCUAUACUUGAUCUUUGCAUUGUAAACCGCGUUUUUACAAAGCAAUGACUCUUCAAUAUCGAAUCAAUGAAUUUAUUAAAAAACUCGAUUUUCUUUUAAAAGGGAUACAUGGUUUCUUUGUGAUCAUGUUUGAACUUUCUUAUUAAAACUCGUUUUAUCCAAACCCAGUUAACUUGCUCGCAAUACAUACUCAAUUCAAAGUCCCAUAUGAUGGAUUGAAACCAUCAUAUUCAAAAAUAGUCCUAACAAGCACUUCAAUUCUCUUAAACCAUAACAUGCUUGUUUAGUCUUCGAAUUCAUCAAAUCAUCUCUUUGAUCACGGGCACUUUGUAACGACAUUU